GACGAACGCUGGCGGCGUGCCUAAUACAUGCAAGUUGAGCGCUGAAGGUUGGUACUUGUACCGACUGGAUGAGCAGCGAACGGGUGAGUAACGCGUGGGGAAUCUGCCUUUGAGCGGGGGACAACAUUUGGAAACGAAUGCUAAUACCGCAUAAAAACUUUAAACACAAGUUUUAAGUUUGAAAGAUGCAAUUGCAUCACUCAAAGAUGAUCCCGCGUUGUAUUAGCUCGUUGGUGAGGUAAAGGCUCACCAAGGCGAUGAUACAUAGCCGACCUGAGAGGGUGAUCGGCCACAUUGGGACGGAGACACGGCCCAAACUCCUACGGGAGGCAGCAGUAGGGAAUCUUCGGCAAUGGACGAAAGUCUGACCGAGCAACGCCGCGUGAGUGAAGAAGGUUGUCGGAUCGUAAAACUCUGUUGGUAGAGAAGAACGUUAGUGAGAGUGGAAAGCUCAUCAAGUGACGGUAACUACCCAGAAAGGGACGGCUAACUACGUG
RNAcentral lists this ribosomal RNA (497 nucleotides) under uncultured bacterium. RNAcentral describes it as "partial 16S ribosomal RNA". It matches the Rfam family "Bacterial small subunit ribosomal RNA", at positions 28 to 507 of the family's 1533-position model. The record is from RNAcentral.